This 475-nucleotide long non-coding RNA is filed under the name Homo sapiens (human). RNAcentral describes it as "non-protein coding LINC01515:37". Lineage: Eukaryota; Metazoa; Chordata; Mammalia; Primates; Hominidae. The record is from RNAcentral.
AAACGGCUGGAGUCAAAGAAACUUUGAACUAUUUAUGGCCUUUAAUAAUUAAGUAAGGUAUACUCCUGUGAUCAAGACUUGGAGCAUAUUUGUUUCUCUCUGCCUGGUUCCUCUAGAAAUUGGAAACUAUCAGAACAGAGACCAACUCCGUUUCCCGAUCCCUUUGCAAUCUGCAUUGAACCAUGAGUCAAGUUCUUGAUAAAGGAGUGAAAAUGGAUGACAUUUAAGGCACAUCUGAAGAUGGGGAAACCACAGCACAGAAUAAGGCUGGGCCCUUGAAUCAAUAAAUGAAGGAGAACUACUCAAGAGAACAAAACCACCAGCAAUAUCCACCUGUAUUUGUCUUUUCAUAAUGUGUGACACAUGUGCUCAUGGAUUAUUGUCCGAAGCAAGACAUGUGACCAAGCCUAACAUCAACUGGGUGAAGAGCUAUAUGUUCCUUUCUCAAGAGGCACUACAAGUGACAUGCCACUGG